Cavia porcellus (domestic guinea pig) is the source of this 2608-nucleotide long non-coding RNA. RefSeq lists it as uncharacterized. The record is from RefSeq and is a predicted model, not a curated record. Lineage: Eukaryota; Metazoa; Chordata; Mammalia; Rodentia; Caviidae. The transcript has 3 exons.
CCAUCUGUGUCUGUCUCUGGGUCUCCUUUUCCACACGGACACAAGAUUAGGUGGCUCCCAGGUCACCAGGUCUCAGGAAAGGAGCGUCGAGGAGUGGAACGUAUCCCUCUGUGAAACGCAGCGCGCGGGUGUUGGCGCCUGAUUGUGGGUGAACGUGUAUUGCGCACCGCGGUUGUGGAGGGUUGGUAAUGUGCGCUGGUUGUGCGUGUGCGAGGUAUGUCGUGUGGGUGUCAGAUGCUUGUUCUGUGUGCCGCGCGUGUCGGUCUGGUGUGUAAUUCGGGGCGCUGUGCUCAUGAUGCCUGCGUCUGCGCCUGUAGGCUGGAGGGAGCAAGGUCGGAGGCGCUCUUGGAGAGCAGGGCUUGAGGCCGCGGGAGGGCGCUGUGGAGGAGCAGCGGGGUGACGCGGGCUCCUCCGGGGCCUGUGGAGACCGCUGUGUGCCCGCAGGGGACUCAAGCUAGCGUGGAGCGCUAGGGAUUUCCGGGAGUCAGUGGGGGCGCGGGAAGCCUUGGGGAGGGGCGCUUGGUGGGGGUUCUUGGGGGCAUCCGUGGCAGGGACUGUCCCCCGCCUGCGGUGGUGCAAGCAAGUGGCAGAGAGGGCGGGACGGAGCCAGGGAGGCCGCGCGGCCCCGGGGCCCGGCCAGGCAGGCGCCAGCCGCCGAGUUGAAAGGCUGCCGCGGCUUCUGCUCGCUGCUUCCCAUUGCGCCCCCGAGGCUUGCGGGAGGAGUACAGACCUGGACCCAGCUGGGCUCACCUCGGGGUCUGAGGUCACGAAAGGGGACACAACAGUGGGAUGGGCGCUCGGGUCUCCGCCUCGCGAGUGUCUGUGUUCAGAACUUGAGCGGAGAAGCAAACCCUAAAACGAACUUUCCAGUCUCUUCGAUCCAGCCUUGUGGGUCAGAUGCUGGGACCCCGCAGACCUGAACCGAACUGGGAGGCCCGGACACGCGCUGACCUCGCUCUUGCCCAAAGUAUCCAGGCCAAGGGAGCCUGGGUUCUCCUGCAGCACAGGCAGAAUCGCAGUCCACAGCCCGCGGCUCCCCUGCAAGGCUGCGCAUGCGGGGAGAAUGUGGCCGGGGCGUCACCCCGCACCAGUGUCACCUACACCAGCAUGCGGCCCGCAGCCAGCCAGCAUUUAUUGAGCGCCUUUUGUGAGCACACUUUGUGGAGAAAAGGUAUUCCGAGCGGGGGUGGGGGAAUGAAAGGGCCAGAGGAGAAGGAAUUCAAAACAAAACAAACAAAAAACCAAAAAUCAAAGAAAAAAAAAAAAACGCCGCUGCCGAGGUCGAGGGGAAACUUAUCAAGGGGCAGAGGCGCGCGCUGGCGGGGCCCCCUGGGUAGCCGGGCCCUUUCCACGCUGACCGGGACCCGGUGCGCAGGGGGCGGGGAAGCGCGCCCGCCUCGCCUGCAGCUACCGCCUCGCUGGAGCCGCGGCGCGUCUGCAGAGAGCGAACCGUUGCUCAUUACCGCAAUUAUGUUGCUCUAAAUUUGCCUCGACCCUAAAUUACCAAACUCAGAGGAGCCGCGAGGCCCCAGAGCUCGGCUGAGGGGGACACCCGAUCCCGCCCUGCCAUUUUUCUAUACCCAAGAAGCAGAAAGGAUUCCAGCGCUGCAAACGUGAUCCGUGGAGCUGAGAAAUCUCAGGUCUGGUCGGCGCUAGGAGGCUCCCUGGGACGGCGGGAGAGCCGCAGGCCCAUUCCGCAGACCAAGGCUGCCCAGGACUUUCCUGUGUGGAGUUUGCUUGCAAAAGCCGCCCAGCAGACAGAGGCUGAGGAAGAGGGGUGCACAUAUUUGGUGAGAAUUAAACGAGCCUCCCAACACUAUGGAGAACCCAGAGGUAUGGGGAACAUAAUGGGCUUUAUUGACUGUCUCCCACGUCUUUGCCGAAUUCCUGCCAACAGGCCUGACUUGGUAGUUGUUCGAAUACUGUAUGUUCUCCCUGGAGCUUGAACUUAUUAAGUAAAAGAAAAGCCAAGUUUGUGAGCACUGUGGAGCAGGGCCUUGCUAAGAGAUUGCCAAGGUGAGAGGAGUCUACGGAGGCCCGAGGUUUCCUGGGAACUCUGAUGUCCCUAGGCCAUGUGAUUCUGCUUUUGUCAUGGGGAUUGCAGUAGGGGUGCAAAGGCACUAUCAUCUGGCAGCUCAAAAGUGGUUCCACAAACUUUCCACCCUGGCAACGACUUAGAGGCAAAGCCAUUUCUUCUCUCCUCUGGCCUCCUGUGGGAAAACCAGGUUGGGAGGGAGGUGGGAACCGGCUCGUUCAGCUGCCUACAGCCAGGGACCAUUCUGGGAGUUCACUUUGUUUUCACAGACAGGUUAAAAGGGGAGGGAAGAUAAAGAGUCAGUUAUGGGUCGCCUGAGCAAGUGUCUAUUUCAGCUUGAAGUGAAUGGGAAAUGGAAAAUUGAGCCUCAUUAUUCUAGAUAAUUGCCCCAAUUCUCCACUUGACUUUGCUAAGGUAUUCUGUCCUGUGUGCUCCAAAUGACACCUGCUGCUGUGUGCCUGCAAUCCUGUCACCUCUGAAAGCUGCUGUGUAAAGCUAUCGUGAAACUGCAAAAGCAACUGUACAUGUGAAGAAGUAAAAUUAAAAUGCAAGACUGAAUCAGUGAAGAGAUCA